This 403-nucleotide ribosomal RNA is filed under the name uncultured bacterium. Its description in RNAcentral is "bacterial SSU rRNA". It matches the Rfam family "Bacterial small subunit ribosomal RNA", at positions 362 to 757 of the family's 1533-position model. The record is from RNAcentral.
UUUUGGACAAUGGGGGCAACCCUGAUCCAGCAAUGCCGCGUGAGUGAAGAAGGCCUUCGGGUUGUAAAGCUCUUUUGUCAGGGAAGAAACGGUGGGGGCUAAUAUCCUCUGCUAAUGACGGUACCUGAAGAAUAAGCACCGGCUAACUACGUGCCAGCAGCCGCGGUAAUACGUAGGGUGCAAGCGUUAAUCGGAAUUACUGGGCGUAAAGCGUGCGCAGGCGGUUGUGCAAGACAGAUGUGAAAUCCCCGGGCUCAACCUGGGAAUUGCAUUUGUGACUGCACGGCUAGAGUGUGUCAGAGGGGGGUAGAAUUCCACGUGUAGCAGUGAAAUGCGUAGAUAUGUGGAGGAAUACCGAUGGCGAAGGCAGCCCCCUGGGAUAACACUGACGCUCAUGCACGAA